This 21-nucleotide ribosomal RNA is filed under the name Phytophthora capsici. Its description in RNAcentral is "partial 28S ribosomal RNA". Lineage: Eukaryota; Oomycota; Peronosporomycetes; Peronosporales; Peronosporaceae. The record is from RNAcentral.
GGACCUGAUAUCAGGCAAGAU